GAUGAAGAACGUAGCGAAAUGCGAUAAGUAAUGUGAAUUGCAGAAUCCAGUGAAUCAUCGAAUCUUUGAACGCACAUUGCGCCCCCUGGUAUUCCGGGGGGCAUGCCUGUCCGAGCGUCAUUGCUGCCCUCAAGCACGGCUUGUGUGUUGGGCCUCCGUCCUCCUCCCGGGGGACGGGCCCGAAAGGCAGCGGCGGCACCGCGUCCGGUCCUCGAGCGUAUGGGGCUUCGUCACCCGCUCUUGUAGGCCCGGCCGGCGCUUGCCGACACAUCAAUCUUUUUUCCAGGUUGACCUCGGAUCAGGUAGGGAUACCCGCUGAACUUAAGCAUAUCAAUAAGCGGAGGA
Molecule: unclassified non-coding RNA, 345 nt
Filed under: soil metagenome
Description: partial contains 5.8S ribosomal RNA, internal transcribed spacer 2, and large subunit ribosomal RNA
Rfam family: 5.8S ribosomal RNA (bases 1-120)
Source: RNAcentral